Molecule: ribosomal RNA, 454 nt
Filed under: uncultured bacterium
Lineage: Bacteria
Description: bacterial SSU rRNA
Rfam family: Bacterial small subunit ribosomal RNA
Source: RNAcentral
UACGGGAGGCAGCAGUGGGGAAUAUUGCACAAUGGGCGAAAGCCUGAUGCAGCUAUGCCGCGUGUAUGAAGAAGGCCUUAGGGUUGUAAAGUACUUUCAUCGGGGAGGAAAAACAAAACUAAUAAUUUUAUUUCUUGACGUUACCCGAAAAAGAAGCACCGGCUAACUCCGUGCCAGCAGCCGCGGUAAUACGGAGGGUGCUAGCGUUAAUCAGAAUUACUGGGCGUAAAGAGCACGUAGGUGGUUUUUUAAGUCAGAUGUGAAAUCCCUGGGCUUAACCUAGGAACUGCAUUUUGAAACUGAAAUACUAGAGUAUCGUAGAGGGAGGUAGAAUUCUAGGUGUAGCGGUGAAAUGCGUAGAUAUCUGGAGGAAUACCUGUGGCGAAAGCGGCCUCCUAAACGAAUACUGACACUGAGGUGCGAAAGCGUGGGGAGCAAACGAGGAUUAGAUACC